CGACACAGGAGCUGCUGAACUCACCUCCUCCCACGGACUCACGGACUCUCCAGAUACAUAUGGAAGAGUUUCCUCUGAAAAAAAAAACUCCAAAACCAGCUGAGUGACCCCUACGCAUCAAGAGAAUGAGAAAAACCUCACAUGGAAGCAGCCUGAGCCCAUCCACACCCCAGUCCCUUGAGGGUCCUUCCAAAGCUUCUGCUGUUGCUUCUUCUUGACUGAUGUCAACCAAGAUGACCAACCUGCUUGUUAUGGUGUUUUCUAACUGUGCAAGUAAGCUUAGCCACUGUGUUGAGCAACCUAGAAACUCCAGGAACGUAACAUCCUGGAGCAGCCCUCCAACAACGACAGUCGACAGUGGGUGGACAAACCUGGCAGCCUCCUCGCUCCUCAGUUGGAUUAGCUCUGGGACACAUUCUUCGUUCAUCUCCGAGUUCCCCUGAGGGACUGAGCUCCAGUUGUCCUGUCUGGUAGAACUGCACGUCCAUCUGGAUGGAGCCAUCAAGCCUGAAACCAUCUUAUAUUAUGGCAGGAAGCGGGGCAUCACCCUCCCUGCCGACACACCAGAGGAGCUGCAGGACAUCAUCGGCAUGGACAAGCCGCUCAGCCUCCCGGGCUUCCUGGCCAAGUUCGCCUACUACAUGCCCGCCAUCGCCUGUCCACAGUCCUGUGAGCUAGACACACUCCUCAUUUGCAGAGGAGGAAAUGAAGGCUCAGGAAAGUGAAGGAACUUGCCCAGGACCACACAGCUGGCAAGGGGUGAAGCCCAGAUUCUCGUCCUGAUGUCGCCUUGAGCCUCCUGGCACGAGGCAGAGUUUCCCAAGGGGCUGCCGGGAGGCCAUCAAAAGGACUGCCUACGAGUUUGUGGAGAUGAAGGCCAAGGAGGGCGUGGUGUACGUGGAGGUGCGCUACAGCCCGCACCUGCUGGCCAACUCCAAAGUGGAGCCGAUCCCCUGGAACCAGGCUGAAGGGGACCUCACCCCGGAUGAGGUGGUGUGUCUAGUGAACCAGGGCCUGCAAGACGGAGAGCGAGACUUCGGGGUGAAGGUGCGGUCCAUCCUGUGCUGCAUGCGCCACCAGCCCAGCUGGUCCCCCGAGGUGGUGGAGCUGUGUAAGAAGUACCAGCAGCAGACCGUGGUGGCCAUCGACCUGGCCGGAGAUGAGACCAUCCAAGGCAGCACCCUCUUCCCUGAACAUGUGCAGGCCUACGCGGAGGCCGUGAAGAGCGGCGUCCACCGCACGGUCCACGCCGGGGAGGUGGGCUCGGCCGAGGUGGUGAGAGAGGCCGUGGACGUGCUCAAGACCGAGAGGCUGGGGCACGGCUACCACACUCUGGAGGACCCGGCCCUCUACAACAGGCUGCGGCAGGAAAACAUGCACUUCGAGGUCUGCCCCUGGUCCAGCUACCUCACCGGCUCCUGGAAGCCAGGCACGGAGCAUGCAGUCGUUCGGUUCAAAAACGACCAGGCUAAUUACUCCCUCAACACGGAUGACCCACUCAUCUUCAAGUCCACCCUGGACACUGAUUACCAGAUGACCAAACAGGACAUGGGCUUCACUGAAGAGGAGUUUAAGAGACUGGCCACUCAGAGACCCCAGGAUGAGCCCUUGAUUUCCGUGGUUCUGACAUCCCAAGUCUGUCCCUGCAGGACUGUCUCUCUGGCGCCACACAUCCCACCCCGUCUCUCAAAGGUUUCUCCAACCUCCCUGCCACAUCUGUGUAUCACGUCGUGCCACGUUAAGAACCCAGAACCUCACAGUCUCUGCUCUGGCGGGUGCUGCCGCGUGACCUUGGACAAGGCCUCGCCACUCUGAGCUUAAUGAAUUGCCCAUGUUUAAUGGACUGUCACUAGAUUGCUAAGGACUCCCUCCUAUGCUCUCUGGUUUCACACUGUCUGCCGUGCUGGCCCUUCCAGAACAUCAAUGCGGCAAAGUCCAGUUUCCUCCCAGAAGAUGAGAAGAGGGAGCUUCUUGAUCUGCUCUAUAAAGCCUACGGGAUGCCACCUUUGGCCUCUGCAGGGAGACUAUGAUUUCCAGAGUCAGCUACUGACGCUCGUGAAGCCCACAUGCCUGUUUCUGUACACACGUAUACCUCCGCCUGGCCGUGUCUCUCCUCUGAUUGUGUGCCCGGGCCAGGAUCAGGGCCUGUGGCUGGUUGAAUCUGAAUCCCUCCCUCCUCUGGUAACCUGUGCUGAAAAUCUGGUGCUUAAUAAAGAAAACAGCAGCUGGG
This is an RNA transcript of Aethalodelphis obliquidens (Pacific white-sided dolphin), 2230 nucleotides long. It is a transcript of the gene named adenosine deaminase, with no coding region annotated. Lineage: Eukaryota; Metazoa; Chordata; Mammalia; Artiodactyla; Delphinidae. The transcript has 15 exons. The record is from RefSeq and is a predicted model, not a curated record.